This 460-nucleotide ribosomal RNA is filed under the name uncultured bacterium. RNAcentral's name for it is "partial 16S ribosomal RNA". It matches the Rfam family "Bacterial small subunit ribosomal RNA", at positions 338 to 795 of the family's 1533-position model. The record is from RNAcentral.
CCUACGGGUGGCAGCAGUGAGGAAUAUUGGUCAAUGGGCGCUAGCCUGAACCAGCCAAGUAGCGUGCAGGAUGACUGCCCUAUGGGUUGUAAACUUCUUUUAUAUGGGAAUAAAGUGCAGUAUGUAUAGUGCUUUGCAUGUACCUUAUGAAUAAGGAUCGGCUAAAUCCGUGCCAGCAGCCGCGGUAAUAAGGAGGAUCCGGGCGUUAUCCGGAUUUAUUGGGGUUAAAGGGAGCGUAGGCGGCUGGUUAAGUCAGUUGUUAAAGUUUGUGGCUCAACCGUAGAAUUGCAGUUGAGACUGGCAUCCUUGAGUACACGAGAGGUAGGCGGAAUGCGUGGUGGAGCGGUGAAAUGCUUAGAUAUCACGAAGAACUCCGAGUGCGAAGGCAGCCUACUGAACCGGCACUGACGUUGAUGCUCGAAAGUGCGGGUAUCGAACAGGAUUAGAUACCCCGGUAGUC